This 3674-nucleotide long non-coding RNA is filed under the name Mus musculus (house mouse). Its description in RNAcentral is "long non-coding RNA chr8:81922508-81926182". The record is from RNAcentral. Lineage: Eukaryota; Metazoa; Chordata; Mammalia; Rodentia; Muridae.
AAAGAAUUUCAUAUAUGCCAUAUUCCAUGGAUCUCUGAUGAUUUUGAAGAUCAUUCAUCUAGUUAUAGGAUAUCUGAACAAGCAAACAUUGCCUGUCCAUAGCUAUUAUUAAUUAUCUGUCCAUCCCAUGAUAUAUAUUUCAGUGAUGAUAUAGAUUAAUAUCUGAUAUUACCGUGAGUUUGACUGUCUGACUAUUAAUUUGCAUUCUAUAAUUAUUUUUAACAAUUUGUAAUAGUAGUCAUUAAAAGGACUGGGACUAAACCUUGUAUUUUAAAAUAAGUUGCAAAGGCAAAAUACCUAUACAAGAGUUGAAACAUGAAAAUAUGUUGUAAUAGAUUAAUCUUAAUUUUUUAUCAGUAUACAAAGAUUUAGAUCAAUGAGAACCUUAAACCUGUAUCAGUAUACAAGAUUUUACAUCAUUGUAAGAAAAUAUAACUUCCAGCUCUGCCCCAAAAUAUAAAGAUCUCUACCAAUGUAAGAUCAUGGCUGUAACAUGCUUUUGUAUAAGAGUAGAUUCAUAUGUAUAUGUAUAGGUAUAUAUACUAAAAAUUACCAAAAUCAUCUAUCUCAAUUUAAGGGGCUGUGACAAUGGUCUUCUUAUAAUUGGUUUCUGCUGAAUUGGGGUAAAGAAUUUCAGUCUGAAGGCCCAAAAGGAAAUUGGAAAAAUGGUUCAGUUGAAAGAAAGCUAGCAGGCAUCAUUUGUUGUCCAGUCUCAGUGUGUUGAGAAAGUUCACAUCUAAAUUGAAGUCCUGACUAGAAUAAUCUGAAAAGCUGGAUGAACCAAGGUCAUCUGAGAUCCAGUCCUUUCUGAUGUUUUUCUAGAAGCAAGUCUCAGGAAACAGCAUCAGUUUGAGGCAGUAUCAACUAGGGAGCUGGAACAGCAGGUCUCAGCAUCUCUGAGGGUGAGUCUUUUCAUGGCUGCCCUCUUGAUAUUACAUUCUGUAACAUAUAAGCCUUGCAAGCAAUAUUCAUGGUUCUAUAAAGACAUCCAUAUGGAAUGUAAAGGGUACACAGAUCAAUUAAGAAUGAUUUCAUUCUCUUGGUUGAGUAGGUGAAAAGUAAACUGUCUCUGUCUUUAGAAGUUAGUUUUUCAUAUAAACAUAAGUCUCUAUUAAUACCACCUGUAAGGAUGGUACAUACCAAAUCAUGAGAAUUUAUAGCCAGUAAGAUUUACUGACUUUGUAAGCUGAAGUUCUAGUUGUCAGUUCAAGCCUUGUUUCAAGAAGGUUUAUCAUUAUGUAUUGUCAGUCUAUUUUUUUCCAUUUGAGUUUCUGCUGUCAGAAAGAUCUUUGGGGCGGGUCUCCCUCUAUCAAAUCUGAUCCUUAUUACUUUGGAAGGAGUCCAUAUUCUUUUCUUCUCACCCAUUAACAAAAAUAGAGAGCCACUCUUCAAACAUAUCAUGCCUUUGGUCCAGCAAUUUGAAGUCAUUGAGCAUAUAGUCUAGCCCAAUUUAGCAGCACCCUUUUUUAUUUAUGUCUCCUCUAUUUUGACUUUUCUUAUAGAGGAUUUGAAAUGCCAUCAUAACCAAAGAACUUAUAACCACCUUCAUUUUGAUAAGUUUAAACAUUUAUUACUUAUUAAGAAAGGGUUUCUGGGUGUAGCCUGGGCUGACAUGGAUUUGCUCUGUAGAUUAGGCUGGCUACAAGCUCACAAGAAAACUCUUUGUCCUCUUUGUCCUUGCCUUUGUCUCACAAGUACUGAGAUCAAGGCUUGGAUUUCUUUCUUCCUUCCUUCCUUCCUUCCUUCCUUCCUUCCUUCCUUCCUUCCUUCCUUCCUUCCUUCCUUCCUUCCUUCCUUCCUUCCUUCCUUCCUUUCUUUCUUUCUUUCUUUCUUUCUUUCUUUCUUUCUUUCUUUCUUUCUUUCUUUCUUAUCUAUGUGCUCUUGAAAACAUUUAUGUCAAUUUACACCACUUUCUCCCUUCUUUGGAGAUUAGUCUCUUUGAUAAUUUAAAACAAAACAAUUAAAAUAUUAUUUAUUAAGACAGGGUUUUGUUCUGUAGAUAAGAGUGGCCUCAAACUCACAGAAAACCUAUUUUUCCUUUCCCUUAUUUCCUAAGUAUUGAGAUCAAAGUCUUGGAUUUAUUUAUUUAUCUAUGUAGCCUUGAAUGUUUAUACUAUUUCUCAUUUCUUUCUCCCAUCUUUAAAGAGUAAUAUCUCCAUGAAUAAAUAUACCUAUAUCACAUUUCUCUUUGUAUACAUUAAUUUAAUAUCCUUCUCUACAUUCAACUUUAUUCAAAUUCACUUUGAUGUUUUGUAUAAAUAUAUUCUCAAGCCAUCAUUGCCAUCAUGUGUGUGUCAUGUUUUAAGCCAAGCAGUGAAACAUUCUCCCAUGGAAGCCCAUGCUUCUAGUAUUGAUAUCUUAACUCAUGUUAUUUUCCAUAAUUUUUUGAUUGUGGCAAGUAUGCAGCCUUGUUCUCUACUCUCUGACCAGCAGGACUUUGUUCAUUUCAUUGCAUAGCUGGGGUUUUCAGGAUUCAUGUGAUUAUGCUACAUUAUCUUUGUCAUCAUAGAGCCCCACAUAGGCAGAUCUCCCCCCACCCCAAGGUUGAUGUUUGAGCUUGCUGGUUUGUAUCUCAUGGACUUUGCUGUUUAGCCUGUGAUUGAGUUGGGGGUGUAGCUGUAUUUUACCUCAUGCUUUGACCCUUGGAACUAUAUCCUGUAGUCGAGAGCACCAGAACUCCAAUCUUACAGGAACCCUGUGUGGCUUGAGGAAAAACCGACUUUGCUAAGGAAAUGAUUCUCCCCACUUUCCUAGACUUUAAGGAACAGUGCACAUUUCCCCCCCAGAAAUAUUAAAUGAAUUUUGUUAAAAAUUGGUUCUUGCCUAUGUUGGGCACCGAUUUGUUGUAGAAAAUAUUUAAUCUCAAUCAGGGUUUCUACCCUGCCUUUGAUCAUUCAGUUCCCAGACAAAAGGCAUGGAACUUUUAUUUUUAUAGUGAGCUUUAGUCAGAAUUAGAGUGGAAGAUAUCUACCCUCUAUGCGAUUAAAAUUUAUUUUCCCAACAAUAACCCCAAGUUAUAGCUUGGUAUGUUCCAUCUAAACUGCUCUUAACAUCAAUUGGCCAGCCUUCAUGGCCAUGUAUUCAUAACUCACUUACCCCAUGGAGGCUUUCUACUGUCUUCUCUAUGGAGAACCAUGAGGGAGAGAUACAUAGGCAGAGCUUGACAUUCCUAUGUAUCUUCUACCCAACUAUUGGCUGUUGGCAUCUUUAUUUAACUAAGAGUUUUAAAUUAAGAAACAAGGUCACAUGAUAUGCACAAAUUCUCUUGUCUUAUGGGCAACCAGGCCUUGGGUGUGUGUGUGGAAUAUUUAUCAUUACAAUACAUAGCAAAAGGUCAAACCUUAACAUACCCAGAAGUCAGAAACAAACUAGAUGGCAAGUAACAGAUGAAUAAGAAAAUGAGGUACCAUACAAUGGAUUAUUACUCAGCCAUUUAAAAGAUGAAAUUCUUAGGUAAAUGUGUAUAACUAGUAAAGAACAUCCUGAGUGAGGUAACCUAGCAACAGAAAGAGAUAUAUAGUGGGUAUUCAUUUAUAUGGGGAUAUUGGCUGUUAAGUCAAUGAUAUCCAGGCUAACACAAUCCAUUGAACAUAGAGAAUUUGAGCUGUUACUUAAAUAGUGUUCACCUCUAUGUUCCAGUGAGUUUCAUUCAGGAAGACACUAUAUCUGCUACC